GCCCAGAGAAAUUUGGAUUAAUACCUCAUAGUAUUAUGAAAUGGCAUCAUUUUAUAAUUAAAGUCACAACGGUAAAAGAUGAGCAUGCGUCCCAUUAGCUAGUUGGUAAGGUAACGGCUUACCAAGGCUACGAUGGGUAGGGGUCCUGAGAGGGAGAUCCCCCACACUGGUACUGAGACACGGACCAGACUCCUACGGGAGGCAGCAGUGAGGAAUAUUGGACAAUGGGCGCAAGCCUGAUCCAGCCAUGCCGCGUGCAGGAUGACGGUCCUAUGGAUUGUAAACUGCUUUUAUACGAGAAGAAACACUGCUUCGUGAAGCAGCUUGACGGUAUCGUAAGAAUAAGGAUCGGCUAACUCCGUG
This 363-nucleotide ribosomal RNA is filed under the name uncultured bacterium. Its description in RNAcentral is "bacterial SSU rRNA". It matches the Rfam family "Bacterial small subunit ribosomal RNA", at positions 146 to 507 of the family's 1533-position model. The record is from RNAcentral.